This 85-nucleotide transfer RNA is filed under the name Felis catus (domestic cat). It matches the Rfam family "tRNA". From Rfam's summary of the family: Transfer RNA (tRNA) molecules are approximately 80 nucleotides in length. Their secondary structure includes four short double-helical elements and three loops (D, anti-codon, and T loops). Further hydrogen bonds mediate the characteristic L-shaped molecular structure. tRNAs have two regions of fundamental functional importance: the anti-codon, which is responsible for specific mRNA codon recognition, and the 3' end, to which the tRNAs corresponding amino acid is attached (by aminoacyl-tRNA synthetases). tRNAs cope with the degeneracy of the genetic code in two manners: having more than one tRNA (with a specific anti-codon) for a particular amino acid; and 'wobble' base-pairing, i.e. permitting non-standard base-pairing at the 3rd anti-codon position. The record is from Rfam by way of RNAcentral. Lineage: Eukaryota; Metazoa; Chordata; Mammalia; Carnivora; Felidae. RNAcentral also lists the same sequence under 6 other names.
GCCUGGGUGGCUCAGUCAUUUAAGCGUCUGACUUUGGCUCAGGUCAUGAUCUCACGGUUUGUGGGUUCAAUCCCCACAUCAGGCU